This 24-nucleotide non-coding RNA is filed under the name Arabidopsis thaliana (thale cress). Lineage: Eukaryota; Viridiplantae; Streptophyta; Magnoliopsida; Brassicales; Brassicaceae. The record is from RNAcentral.
GACUAAUAUCAGUCGGUCUACCAU